Long non-coding RNA from Mauremys mutica (yellowpond turtle), 2899 nucleotides. RefSeq lists it as uncharacterized. The transcript has 2 exons. The record is from RefSeq and is a predicted model, not a curated record. Lineage: Eukaryota; Metazoa; Chordata; Testudines; Geoemydidae.
ACGGACAGAGCCCCCUGCCCCCCGGCGGGGACUGAGCGCCCCCGGACGGACGGACGGACGGACAAAGCCCCCUGCCCCGCGGCGGGGACUGAGCGCCCCCGGACAGACGGACCGACAGAGCCUCCUGCCCCCCGGCGGGGACUGAGCGUCCCAGGACAGACGGACGGACAGAGCCCCCUGCCCCCCGGCGGGGACUGAGCGCCCCCGGACAGACGGACGGACGGACAGAGCCCCCUGCCCCCCGGCGGGGACUGAGCGCCCCCGGACAGACGGACGGACGGACAGAGCCCCCUGCCCCGCGGCGGGGACUGAGCACCCCCGGACAGACGGACGGACAGAGCCCCCCGCCGGGGACUGAGCGCCCCCGGACAGACAGAUGGAUGGACAGAGCCCCCCCCCCCGCCUGACAGCUCCCGUAGCUGGUCAGGGACCUGCAGCCCCUAGACAAAGCCCCCCGCCCCCGAGGACGGACGGACAGACACAGGCUAUCCUCAGCCAAAGAACCCCAGCCCUGAUCGCCGGAAGGUGGGGGCUGCCAGCCCUCGGGCUCCCCCCUUCCGGCUCUCACAGGUGGGUGCUGGCUCUGGGUCUUCGCUCACUUGCUCCCCGGGGGCGGCUGGGACAGGAGGGAGCAGGCCCCCAUGGCUGUCAUGGGAGGGGAGGGGAGAGUUCUGGGCCAGGGCCAGGACCAGGGCCAGCUCUGGCACCCCAGGAGCCACUCCUAGCACCCAUUGCCCAGCCAGGAUGAGCCAGGCCAGAAACGCCCAGGGAGGAGCCCUGAUCUAUGAGAACUGACUGCCCAGAGACCCCUGCUCUGUGGGGGGGGGCUCCUCCCAGGGGCUGGGCCCUCACUCUCCCCUGCCCCCACAUGCAGCCCCUGCUCCUGCCCCAUCUGCUCAGGGACAGAACUAUGCCCCCAGCCCCAGAUGCGCCGCCCCCCACCUAGGCUGGGCGGAUGGGGAGUCCAGUGCCAGCCCAGAGCCACCACCCCUCCCCCAGCCCUUCCCAGGGAGUGGGGCCCCAGCAGGGCAAGGCCAUUGCUCUCCCAGCCCUGACUCAUGGUGGGGGGAGGAGGGAGCAGGGGCUGAGCCGCGCAAGAUGUUCCAGGCCUGGGUAUGUCAGGGCAGCCUGGGAGCCCCCUUCAGCUCAGCCUCCUGCUCACGGGUGUGUCUCUCCCUAGUGCCUUUUUCUUUGCAGGGGCCACACAGCCCCUGACAAGCUGUACACAGGGAUCGCCACACCUGCCAGGGAAAUGCACCCACCUCUGGGGUGGGGCGUAGCAGUUGUGUAAUCGCUGUGCAGCCGGUGAGGAUGGGAAGUGAAAGACACUGUGCCCAGUUGAAGUUGCAGGGUGGGACGGAUUUGAGGUUGGUGGAAUUUAGCCCUAUAAGGAAAUUCAAGGGAAGGACAGGCAGGUUUCAUAACCAAGCAGAGACCUCUCCAAGACGGCUCCCCUUUGGAAGAUCCCCGCGCAGGGCCCCGCCAGCAGGGCAAGCCUGGCCCGUGCUGCUUGGGGCACAAGGGAAGUGUUGGCCUCCCUGCUCCGCGGGCUGAUUCCACAAGUGGUGACUCAGGGCCGUGCCCCCGGUCCCUGGGCAGCGGCUGUGCCAAAGCCGUUCUGGGCAGCGCAGAGGAGCCCUAGUACCUUCGAUUUUUUACAGACUUCCACCCUGGUGCCAUCGAUCCCUGCGCUGUUCUUGCCCCCGGAGCUGGGCGGGUGUGACUUGCUGCCAAGGAGGCACAGAGCGACACGGGAGAUGCAGCGGCUGGGGGCUGUGCCCUGUUUCAGGAAAGUGCCUUUCACCCCAGUGACCUCCAGAGCUCUGUGCGAAGGCAGCGGGAGCCAGAGGGUGGAUCAGCCUGGCCCGGGGCCCCCCACCCGAAAGCUGACAGCUCGGGGAACGUGACCAGGUCCAGCACAUCCUGGCUCCUCUCCUGACCCCUCCUCCAGCCAGGAGGCCCCGGGGAUGGACUGGCUGCGAGGGCUGGAACGGGGCUGCCAGCCGGGCCCGGAGGAAGCUCCACUUUGGAUGGAAUCGUGCUGGGAAAUUCAUCUUUGGAGAUUGCGCUGAGCCCAGCCCCAGGCUGCUCGGCACCCUCCAGUCCCCCUGGGAAAGGCCAGUGGCUGCAGGCUCCCCCCGGCACUGGACACCGGAGAAGCAGUGGCAGGACCAGAGGGCAGAUGUCGCGGUGGAGCCGAGGGAGGGAGUCGAGCCCGGAGUUUGCUCCGUGGCUCCCGUGCACAGGGCCUGGUGCUGGGACCUCUGGAGGCUGCCCUGGGCUGGAGGGAGCAGGCGAGGAGCCCAGGAGGGACUGGAGAGCCGCAGCCUCUGCUCAUGGAGAGCCCAGCAGCCCCAUGCUGCUGUGGGAGAGGACAUGGACUGGGCAGAUGUGCCCCUGCCCUGUACAGCCAGGCUCGCUCCCCGUGUGCAGCGGACGGGCCCAGGGCUGCCUGGUGCCCGCCUGCCUCAUGCUCAGGCUGUGCCAUGUUGCUCGCGAAUGGCCAAGCCCCAGCGCACUGGAGAGCCGCGGUCCUCCACCUACCACUGUCUCACUGCCCCGGCUUUCCCCGGGCAUGCCCUGCACGCUGCCCUUGCCUCCCGGCUGUGCCCCCAUCCCUGCCUUGGGGAGAUCCCACCCGUCGUGCCACAGGCAGUCCUCCCCGGUGCCUGCGGAUCUUUCCCAUCCUCCCUGCCGCCUGCAGCUCUGCGCAUGGCCCCAGGGCCUGCUCUGCACAGCUGGGGCGGGAGCUGGCCCCGCUGCGCUGCGUGGCAGGGAGGGGCUCUGUCCCUGGCGUGUUUCCCAGGCCCCUGCCUGUCUGACUCGUGGGCCCAGCUGCACCCAGAUCUCUGUUGUUUGCUGUGGAUUCACCUCCCUAAAUAAAGGGUUGCUGGUACGA